This 785-nucleotide ribosomal RNA is filed under the name uncultured bacterium. Its description in RNAcentral is "bacterial SSU rRNA". It matches the Rfam family "Bacterial small subunit ribosomal RNA", at positions 42 to 845 of the family's 1533-position model. The record is from RNAcentral.
GCAUGCUUACCAUGCAGUCGAGGGGUAGAAAUAUCCCUGGCGCACGGGUGCGUAACGCGUAGGCAAUCUGCCCUUCACACCGACAUAACAGUUCUAACGGAUUGAUAAUAUCGGAUGUUGUUAUUUCAUCACCUGAUGGGAUAAUGAAAGUUUAGGCGGUGAAGGAUGAGCCUGCGUCUGAUUAGGUAGUUGGCGGGGUAACGGCCCACCAAGCCGACGAUCAGUAGCUGGUCUGAGAGGAUGAUCAGCCACAUUGGGACUGAGACACGGCCCAGACUCCUACGGGAGGCAGCAGUGAGGAAUAUUGCGCAAUGGACGGAAGUCUGACGCAGCAAUGCCGCGUGCGGGAUGAAGGCGCUAUGCGUCGUAAACCGCUGUAGCGUGGGGCAAAAAGCACCCUCGGGGUGUUAGAUGGUACCACGAAAGUAAGCAUCGGCUAACUCCGUGCCAGCAGCCGCGGUAAUACGGAGGGUGCGAGCGUUAAUCGGAAUUACUGGGCGUAAAGCGCGCGUAGGCGGUUUGUUAAGUCGGAUGUGAAAUCCCCGGGCUCAACCUGGGAAUGGCAUUCGAUACUGGCCGACUAGGGUACGAGAGAGGGAGGUAGAAUUCCACGUGUAGCGGUGAAAUGCGUAGAUAUGUGGAGGAAUACCGGUGGCGAAGGCGGCCUCCUGGCUCGAUACUGACGCUGAGGUGCGAAAGCGUGGGUAGCAAACAGGAUUAGAUACCCUGGUAGUCCACGCCGUAAACGAUGUCUACUAGCCGUUGGGAGACUUGAUUUCUUAGUG